CUCGCAUCGCGGAGGAAGCUGGCGCUUGCGCCGUCAUGGCCCUGGAGCGCGUCCCCGCCGAUAUUCGCGCUCAGGGAGGCGUCGCUCGGAUGAGCGAUCCCCAGAUGAUAAAGGAUAUCAUGGCCCGGGAGCGCGCCCCCGCCGAUAUUCGCGCUCAGGGAGGCGUCGCUCGGAUGAGCGAUCCCCAGAUGAUAAAGGAUAUCAAGCAGGCCGUCACGAUUCCGGUGAUGGCGAAGGCCAGGAUUGGUCAUUUCGUGGAGGCGCAGAUCCUCGAGGCGAUCGGAAUCGAUUACAUCGACGAGAGCGAGGUGUUGACUCUCGCCGACGAAGACAACCAC
This 338-nucleotide long non-coding RNA is filed under the name Brassica napus (rape). Its description in RNAcentral is "long non-coding RNA (BNAP_LNC024906)". The record is from RNAcentral. Lineage: Eukaryota; Viridiplantae; Streptophyta; Magnoliopsida; Brassicales; Brassicaceae.